GACGGAGGGUGCUAGCGUUGUUCGGAAUUACUGGGCGUAAAGGGCGCGUAGGCGGCCCUGUCAGUCGGGUGUGAAAGCCCGGGGCUCAACCCCGGAACGGCACCCGAGACGGCAGGGCUGGAGACCGGGAGAGGAGGGUGGAAUAGCCAGUGUAGAGGUGAAAUUCGUAGAUAUUGGCUGGAACACCGGUGGCGAAGGCGGCAUCCUGGACCGGCAUUGACGCUGAGGCGCGAAAGCUAGGGGAGCAAACGGG
This 253-nucleotide ribosomal RNA is filed under the name uncultured bacterium. RNAcentral's name for it is "partial 16S ribosomal RNA". It matches the Rfam family "Bacterial small subunit ribosomal RNA", at positions 524 to 776 of the family's 1533-position model. The record is from RNAcentral.